CAGUCCUCUUAUCAAUCUCCAAAAAUCAUCCUCCAGGCUGGUCAAGGCAGUCUCAGCUAACUAAAUUGUUCUGAAGUAGCUUAAAAUGGUUUUGACUAAGUUGAGCAAGAAAAUAAUAUUAUUUUCUUCUCUCCCCAGUCUGCUCCAGCUCAUUAUUGACAGAAUGUCUAGUCAUUUCUCAGGAAGAAUAUUAACAGAGCUGAAAGAAAAAGGUGUGGAAAUAUGUAACGGAGUUACCAGAGGACAACUUCUGUGAAAAGAAAGAUCUUCAAGACAGAUGACAGAAGAAAUUAAUCAACUAAACUGAGAAGAAUGAGUUGAAGACUGUGUGCAAGCCUGGGUUGUACCUACUCAUAUUUUCCCCCUUCAUUUAAUUUCUAUGCUUUUGGAUUCCUAAUUCUUCUGGAAGAAAUUUGUCUAUGGAUUUAAUGAGCAAAUUAUCCAAUAAUGUGUUCCUCUUUGUGGCUUUUGGAACCUGGCUAAAAUCAAGAGGAUAAGUAGAACUCUAAUGGUGUGAUUUCACUUUCUCAAGCAACCUCAUCCUCACCAUCUUUGACAGGAGAUGAAUUACUUUUAAUAAGUGCAAGCUGUUCUGACCAGAGUAUUUUCCAAUGGACAAGAUAUGCAGGACAAGCUCUACAUUUGAGUGAGGUGGGCAGGAUUAGGAGCAAAUUCACAUGUCCUUAAAACUGUUCUAUCACACUCUCUACUUAGCACCGAUGCUCAAAUGGUAGAAUCUCAUGCCAGUAUAAAUAAUUUAAAAACAACACAAGUGCUUGGCCACUAAUUAUGCGAAUAAAACAAUUUGUUAGCACAGUU
Molecule: long non-coding RNA, 819 nt
Organism: Pantherophis guttatus
Lineage: Eukaryota; Metazoa; Chordata; Lepidosauria; Squamata; Colubridae
Source: RefSeq, a predicted model, not a curated record